This 253-nucleotide ribosomal RNA is filed under the name uncultured bacterium. RNAcentral describes it as "partial 16S ribosomal RNA". It matches the Rfam family "Bacterial small subunit ribosomal RNA", at positions 524 to 776 of the family's 1533-position model. The record is from RNAcentral.
UACGUAGGGUGCAAGCGUUGUCCGGAAUUAUUGGGCGUAAAGAGCUCGUAGGCGGUCUGUCACGUCGGCUGUGAAAACCCGAGGCUCAACCUCGGGCCUGCAGUCGAUACGGGCAAACUAGAGUACUGAAGGGGAGACUGGAAUUCCUGGUGUAGCGGUGAAAUGCGCAGAUAUCAGGAGGAACACCGGUGGCGAAGGCGGGUCUCUGGGCAGUAACUGACGCUGAGGAGCGAAAGCGUGGGGAGCGAACAGG